This 210-nucleotide long non-coding RNA is filed under the name Elaeis guineensis (African oil palm). RNAcentral's name for it is "long non-coding RNA (EGUI_LNC061072)". Lineage: Eukaryota; Viridiplantae; Streptophyta; Magnoliopsida; Arecales; Arecaceae. The record is from RNAcentral.
AUGCACAGCUACUCCCACGACCAUUCUGGGACACUCUCUGCUACCUUUAUAGCUGCACAUGUUAAGCUAUUUCUGAUGUGCCUGGGCAGUCUCAGCCGCUCAUGGUCUCUCUCAGACCCUUGUUGAGAUGUGCUAAGAUGCGCAACUCUCUACAGUCCAUCAGGUACUAUUUUAUAAAGCCAAAACCUACUCUACAUCAAAAUCAUAGCC